AUGGCCGCCUGGCGAAGGAAGGAGACGGCCGAAGCAUACUACCUCGCGGCCGAUGCCGGCGACAGAGGAAAGAAGGUCCCCAAGGGGUACAUCCCGCUGGCGCUGGUGGGCGAGGAAGGGGGCGGCGAUGAGAGGGUGCUGGUGCGGAUCGAUGCGCUCAAGGAGCCGUGCAUGGCGGCGCUGCUGGAGAUGGCCGCGGAGCAGUUCGGCUACGGCCAGCCCGGCGUCCUGAGGAUCCCAUGUGACGCACAGCAGUUCCAACGGAUGGUCGCGGCCAUGUGCAGCAAAGAGCAAAGCCACACAGGAUAG
RNAcentral lists this ribosomal RNA (309 nucleotides) under Triticum aestivum (bread wheat). RNAcentral's name for it is "partial small subunit ribosomal RNA". The record is from RNAcentral. Lineage: Eukaryota; Viridiplantae; Streptophyta; Magnoliopsida; Poales; Poaceae.